RNAcentral lists this transfer RNA (73 nucleotides) under Ixodes scapularis (black-legged tick). Its description in RNAcentral is "tRNA-Ser". The record is from RNAcentral. Lineage: Eukaryota; Metazoa; Arthropoda; Arachnida; Ixodida; Ixodidae.
UCCUGGUUGGCUCAGUUGGUAGAGCGCUCCACAGGAAACGGAGAGGUUCCUGUCUUGACACCAGGACCAGUCG